GCCGCCUUAGCACAGCGGUAGUGCACCGCUUUCGUAAAGCGGGGGUCCGGGGUUCAAAUCCCCGAGGCGGCU
Molecule: transfer RNA, 72 nt
Filed under: Telmatocola sphagniphila
Lineage: Bacteria; Pseudomonadati; Planctomycetota; Planctomycetia; Gemmatales; Gemmataceae
Rfam family: tRNA
About the family: Transfer RNA (tRNA) molecules are approximately 80 nucleotides in length.
Source: Rfam by way of RNAcentral